RNAcentral lists this ribosomal RNA (420 nucleotides) under uncultured prokaryote. RNAcentral's name for it is "bacterial SSU rRNA". It matches the Rfam family "Bacterial small subunit ribosomal RNA", at positions 338 to 774 of the family's 1533-position model. The record is from RNAcentral.
CCUAUGGGGGGCUGUAGUCGAGAAUCUUGGGCAAUGGGCGAAAGCCUGACCCAGCAAUGCCGCGUGCGGGAUGAAGGUCUUCGGAUUGUAAACCGCUGUCACUGGGGACGAAUUUUGACGGUACCUGGAGAGGAAGACACGGCGAACUACGUGCCAGCAGCCGCGGUAAUACGUAGGUGUCGAGCGUUGUUCGGAUUCAUUGGGCGUAAAGGGUCCGGAGGGGGGUGGGUAAGUCUGAUGUGAAAUCCCGGAGCUCAACUCCGGAACUGCAUUGGAAACUGACUGACUAGAGCAUCGGAGAGGAGAUUGGAAUUCCAGGUGUAGCGAUAAAAUGCGUAGAUAUCGGGAAGAACACCGAAAGCGAAGGCAGAUCUCUGGACGAUUGCUGACCCUCAGGGACGAAAGCGUGGGGAGCAAACA